Molecule: ribosomal RNA, 253 nt
Filed under: uncultured bacterium
Lineage: Bacteria
Description: partial 16S ribosomal RNA
Rfam family: Bacterial small subunit ribosomal RNA
Source: RNAcentral
UACGAAGGGGGCAAGCGUUGUUCGGAUUUACUGGGCGUAAAGGGCGCGUAGGCGGAUUCGUAAGUCAGAGGUGAAAGCCCUGGGCUCAACCCGGGAAUGGCCUUUGAGACUGCAAGUCUUGAGUGCGAGAGAGGGUGGCGGAAUACCCAGUGUAGAGGUGAAAUUCGUAGAUAUUGGGUAGAACACCGGUGGCGAAGGCGGCCACCUGGCUCGCAACUGACGCUGAGGCGCGAAAGCGUGGGGAGCAAACAGG